AUCAAUUAAAUCAUAUGCCCACAAAAAGACUAGUACAAAAAUAUUUAUAGCAAUUUUAUUAAUUGCUCCAAACUGGAAAUAACCCAAUAUGUCUAUCCCACAGGUCUAUGAUCAGAAGAAUAGAUAAACAAAUUGUGGCAUAAUCACACAAUGGAAUACUACUCAGCAACAAAGAAGAACUGCUGCUCUAUGCAACAACAUGGAUGGCUCUCUCAGAUAUGCUCAGAGGAAGAAGCCAAAUACCAAGGAUUGCAUUCUGGAGGAUUCCAUUUGUAUGAAGUUCAAGAACAGGGAAAGCUAAGCUAAGGGCAUGUCAUUUGCAGGGAUGAAAACUCACUGAAAAGUACCUGUAAGGCUUAUGCGUUUCACUGUAAGUACAUUUUAUCUCAAUUAAAGAAUACCAAGGGAAAAAAAGAAGUAAUUGCAUUUCUGGGAACUUAUCCUUAGGAAAUAAUCAGAGAAACUGGCAAAGAUAUAUGCUUAUCAAAGUAUCAACUAUAUCAACUAUAAUAUAAAAACUAUGGAAACAACAUAAAUAGAACCAGUAAGAAUGAUGCAUGGAUAUACAGUAAUUUCAUAUAAAGAUAUUCACAAUAUGGUACUGAACAAAAAAACCUGCAUAUAAGGGCCAGGGAGUGGAAACAACACAUAUGUCCAUUAACUGAUGAGUGGAUAAAGAAAAUAUGGUAUGUCUAUACAAUGGAAAAUUCUUCAGCCAAAAAAAAAAAAAA
Molecule: long non-coding RNA, 731 nt
Organism: Canis lupus familiaris (dog)
Lineage: Eukaryota; Metazoa; Chordata; Mammalia; Carnivora; Canidae
Exons: 2
Source: RefSeq, a predicted model, not a curated record